GCAUAGCCCCGAUUGCAGUGGAAAUCCUUUUCAAGCGCUUUGCAAAAGCGUUUGAAAAGAUUGAAACAAAAAGCGGGAAACAGC
Molecule: small RNA, 84 nt
Filed under: Flavobacterium caeni
Lineage: Bacteria; Pseudomonadati; Bacteroidota; Flavobacteriia; Flavobacteriales; Flavobacteriaceae
Description: Flavo-1 RNA
Rfam family: Flavo-1 RNA
Source: Rfam by way of RNAcentral